GCGGGGGUGGCUGAGCUAGGCCAAAGGCGGCGGACUUAAGAUCCGCUCUCGUAGGAGUUCAUGGGUUCGAAUCCCAUCCCCCGCA
Transfer RNA from Halogeometricum borinquense DSM 11551, 85 nucleotides. It matches the Rfam family "tRNA". Rfam says of the family: Transfer RNA (tRNA) molecules are approximately 80 nucleotides in length. Their secondary structure includes four short double-helical elements and three loops (D, anti-codon, and T loops). The record is from Rfam. Lineage: Archaea; Methanobacteriati; Methanobacteriota; Halobacteria; Halobacteriales; Haloferacaceae.